This is a non-coding RNA of Poecilia reticulata (guppy), 451 nucleotides long. The record is from RefSeq and is a predicted model, not a curated record. NCBI's taxonomy places the organism in Eukaryota, Metazoa, Chordata, Actinopteri, Cyprinodontiformes, Poeciliidae.
AGUAGUUUCUUAUGAAAAGGAUUAAUUGAGAAAAAGAAAUCAUUUCCUGUCAGGAAGAGACUUCAUUUUGGAGCAACAGAGGGUCAGGUCGGCUGGUGAUACAGAAAUCAGAGUGAGAAGAGUGACAGAUGAAAACUUGCAGAAGAAAGUGAAUUUUCCAUAAACAGAUUUAUUUUAUCUCCCCGAUGGCUCAGCAGACCUCGAUGUCACUGGGAGUCUUUUAGAUGUGCUGCAGGACUCCCAUCAUCGCCGCAGGAUGACGGCUGAAAACAGAAAUACAACGUUGGAGGAAAAGAUUUUGAAUCUGGUGCAAAAAUAAGCAAAUAGAAAGGUUGUUCAGAGGAAAGUUCAGAAGUCGUAAGUAAAUGGUGAAAAUCAGAAGGACCAAGGUUUGCUCCCUGUGGUGUUUCUUCAAUAUCAACGCAAAGUUCUUUCCAAGACCAGCAUGACC